GAGGAAGUAAAAGUCGUAACAAGGUCUCCGUUGGUGAACCAGCGGAGGGAUCAUUACCGAGUUUAACACAACUCCAACCCUACGUGAAUAUACCACAGUUGCCUCGGCGAGGCGACAGGCCUCGCCAAAGGGCCGCUAAACUCUGAUUUAUCCACUGUAUCUCUGAAUACUUAACUAAAUACGUUAAAACUUUCAACAACGGAUCUCUUGGUUCUGGCAUCGAUGAAGAACGCAGCGAAAUGCGAUAAGUAAUGUGAAUUGCAGAAUUCAGUGAAUCAUCGAAUCUUUGAACGCACAUUGCGCCCAUUAGUAUUCUAGUGGGCAUGCCUAUUCGAGCGUCAUUUCAACCCUUACGCCCCGCGGCGUAGCGUUGGGAAUCUACCCUCAGGGGUAGUUCCCGAAAUCUAUUGGCGGAGUUAGCGCAUACUCUAGGCGUAGUAAUCACCAUUCUCGCUUCUGCAGUAGUGCUGACGGCUAGCCGUUAAACCCCCUAUUAUUUCUAGUGGUUGACCUCGGAUUAGGUAGGAAUACCCGCUGAACUUAAGCAUAUCA
This 552-nucleotide ribosomal RNA is filed under the name Xylariaceae sp. 5 ICMP 18786. RNAcentral's name for it is "eukaryotic LSU rRNA". The stretch from base 188 to 341 matches the Rfam family "5.8S ribosomal RNA". The record is from RNAcentral. Lineage: Eukaryota; Fungi; Ascomycota; Sordariomycetes; Xylariales; Xylariaceae.